UCCGAGUUGACCCCGGCAGUCUCCCACGAGUCCCCGGCAUAACCCGCUGGCAACAUGGGAUAAGGGUUGCGCUCGUUGCGGGACUUAACCCAACAUCUCACGACACGAGCUGACGACAACCGUGCACCACCUGUGCACGGCCCUUACGGACCUUCCAUCUCUGAAAGAUUUCCGUACAUGUCAAGCCUAGGUAAGGUUCUUCGCGUUGCAUCGAAUUAAGCAACAUGCUCCGCCGCUUGUGCGGGCCCCCGUCAAUUCCUUUGAGUUUCAGCCUUGCGGCCGUACUCCCCAGGCGGGAUGCUUAUCGCGUUAGCUGCGACACUGACCGGGUCGAUCCGCCCAGCGUCUAGCAUCCAUCGUUUACGGCGUGGACUAC
RNAcentral lists this unclassified non-coding RNA (376 nucleotides) under uncultured bacterium. RNAcentral describes it as "contains 16S-23S intergenic spacer region". The record is from RNAcentral.